Molecule: ribosomal RNA, 374 nt
Filed under: uncultured organism
Description: partial 16S ribosomal RNA
Rfam family: Bacterial small subunit ribosomal RNA
Source: RNAcentral
GGAGGGGGCGAGCGUUAUUCGGAUUUACUGGGCGUAAAGCGCACGUAGGCGGCUAGGGUAUGUCAAAGGUGAAAGCCCUCGACUCAACCGAGGAACUGCCUUUGAAACUGCUUGGCUUGAGUCCCGGGAGAGGGGAGCGGAAUUCCCAGUGUAGCGGUGAAAUGCGUAGAUACUGGGAGGAACACCGGUGGCGAAGGCGGCUCCCUGGACCGGCACUGACGCUGAGGUGCGAAGGCGUGAGUAGCAAACAGGAUUAGAUACCCUGGUAGUCCACGCCGUAAACGAUGGGCAUUAGGUGCAGCGGGCGUCGACCCCUGCUGUGCCGAAGCUAACGCAUUAAGUGCCCCGCCUGGGGAGUACGGUCGCAAAGGCUG